Molecule: long non-coding RNA, 713 nt
Filed under: Homo sapiens (human)
Lineage: Eukaryota; Metazoa; Chordata; Mammalia; Primates; Hominidae
Description: non-protein coding STARD13-AS:48
Source: RNAcentral
GGAGACUCUAAGACUUCUGAAGAGUUUCUUGCUUCUUUCCUGUGGGGCAGUGACUCCACUUCCCAGCAGUAAUGGAAUAUCCUGAAUUAGCUACAUUAAUGUUAGAACCAUUUGGACCUCACCCAGGACUUCAACUACAUUAUGCUAAAGUUACAGAACCCAAAUUUGGCAACUGUCUGCAUCUGAACAACAGAAGUUUCAACAUUCUGCCAACAGAGUAACUCCUGGACGAUUGGCACAGAAGAAGGCACAAGGCAAAUACCCAUCUCUGUACACCCUGUGCUACUGUGUCAUGUGCUGCUCCAGGCAACUCCAAUGGAUUGGCCACCCUGGCCAAUGUGUGAGUUAUAAAGCAAUGAUGUGUAGCUAUUGAACCUACAAUUUGGUUAAAGUUAAACUCUCAAGUUUUAUAUGUUUACAAGCAUAUUGUCCUUUUGUUAAUUUCCUCCCAGUACUCAUUUCUUGACUUCUUUUAGUUUUACUAUGUAGUAAUUUUUAAAAUGUUAGUCAAAGUUAGUUAAUUUAAUUCACUUAGCAGAUUUUCCUGUAAUUUUGGUUAAACAGUAUCCUUUCUGUACAGGCCCUCCAAACACCAGCACUGAGUAGAAAGAGGCUCUGAUUCAUGAAAUGUGAAUUUAUGACAGUUGCCACUCUUAAAAAAAAAAACAAACAGACAGAACUUGAGCAAUACAUGACUGAUGCAUUCUCAGCCU